RNAcentral lists this ribosomal RNA (404 nucleotides) under Actinomycetes bacterium. Its description in RNAcentral is "Actinobacteria bacterium partial 16S ribosomal RNA". It matches the Rfam family "Bacterial small subunit ribosomal RNA", at positions 355 to 776 of the family's 1533-position model. Lineage: Bacteria; Bacillati; Actinomycetota; Actinomycetes. The record is from RNAcentral.
UGGGGAAUAUUGGACAAUGGGCGCAAGCCUGAUCCAGCCAUGCCGCGUGAGUGAUGAAGGCCCUAGGGUUGUAAAGCUCUUUCACCGGUGAAGAUAAUGACGGUAACCGGAGAAGAAGCCCCGGCUAACUUCGUGCCAGCAGCCGCGGUAAUACGAAGGGGGCUAGCGUUGUUCGGAUUUACUGGGCGUAAAGCGCACGUAGGCGGACUUUUAAGUCAGGGGUGAAAUCCCGGGGCUCAACCCCGGAACUGCCUUUGAUACUGGAAGUCUUGAGUAUGGUAGAGGUGAGUGGAAUUCCGAGUGUAGAGGUGAAAUUCGUAGAUAUGCGGAGGAACACCAGUGGCGAAGGCGGCUCACUGGACGAUUACUGACGCUGAGGUGCGAAAGCGGGGGGAGCAAACAGG